Molecule: unclassified non-coding RNA, 350 nt
Filed under: Hevea brasiliensis (rubber tree)
Lineage: Eukaryota; Viridiplantae; Streptophyta; Magnoliopsida; Malpighiales; Euphorbiaceae
Source: RNAcentral
GAGAAGGAAAUUGUCAUCUACUCUACCAUGAUAGAUGACAUCUGACUAAUUCUAACUAGAUAAUGGAGUUGCACAAUUAACUGUUAGCCGUUAUUAAUCAAUCUAAGCUGGGAAUAAAAAUCUGGACUGUAAAACCAAAUUUUUAAUGUUGAUUAGACUUAGUAAUAAAUGUUGGUGGUCCCUGCUGGCUGAUUCAAAGAAAAGAUACUUUCCAUGUGAUAUGAAUCAAACGCAAUCAAUCAUGAUCUUGAUGGUGAAUUAAUGCAUAAGAGGGGGGCCCCUCUUUGCAGGUUUAAUCAAUCAUCUUCCCACCAUUAAUAUACACAAGAGAGAAAUACAAGUCCUUUUCU